UGAGGAAUCUUCCACAAUGGGCGAAAGCCUGAUGGAGCAAUACCGCGUGCAGGAAGACGCUUUUCGGAGUGUAAACUGCUUUUCUGAAGGAAGAUUAUGACGGUACUUCAGGAAUAAGGAUCGGCUAACUACGUGCCAGCAGCCGCGGUAAUACGUAGGAUCCAAGCGCUAUCCGGAAUUACUGGGCGUAAAGCGUGCGCAGACGGUUUAGUAGGUCUUAUGCGAAAUCCGGUGGCUCAACCACCUGGACUGUAUAGGAAACCCCUUGACUUGAGGUAGGUAGAGGUACAUGGAAUUUCUGGUGUAGGAGUGACAUCCGUAGAUAUCAGAAGGAACACCAAUGGCGAAGGCAGUGUACUGGGCCUUACCUGACGUUCAGGCACGAAAGCGUGGGUAGCAAACAGGAUUAGAUACCCGUGUAGUCC
This 425-nucleotide ribosomal RNA is filed under the name uncultured bacterium. RNAcentral describes it as "bacterial SSU rRNA". It matches the Rfam family "Bacterial small subunit ribosomal RNA", at positions 355 to 796 of the family's 1533-position model. The record is from RNAcentral.